UGCUAAAAGACCACGGUUUUGCAAUAGCAUUGUCUUUUGAGCGUGGUCAUAGUUAUUUUACGACCACGCUUUUAAAAAACACUUGUUAAAAGACUUAAAAAUUUGUAGUCUUUUUAUUAAUUUAUUUAAAUAAUUAUCAAUUAAAAAUUCCCAAAAUUAAAAUCCCUAACCCCAAAUCGCAACCCCCUUUCUUGUUCCCAAACUCUCAACUCGCCUGCCACGCCGCGACCACCAUCUCGCCGCCGCAAUCCGCUCUGCCUGCCACGCCGCGCCCCCCCAUCUCGCCGCCCCUCUCCUCUGUCUGCUAAUCUUAGGCGUGGCUACCCGCACCGGCUGCCAUGCUGCGCCCAACGACUCGCCGCCCCUCUCAUUGUCGCGAACCCUAAGCGCCGUGACCAGCGCCGCCGGCCACGCCUCGUCCCCAAUCUCGCCGCCAAUGUCUUCGUCGCUAACCUCAGGCACCGCACCCCCGCUCUCGCGACCCCUGUCCUCAUUGCUAACCCUAGGCGUCGCCUCCCUCCCCCAUCGGUGAAAAGCUUUCCACCCGCCGCCUUCUCCGCCUGUCUUGGCUUCGCCUAGCUCGCCCUCUCAGAAGCAGAGCCCCUAAUUCAAAACCCUAGCCCAAAAUCAGGGAUGAGCUUUUGCAUUAAGUGUUUGUUGUUCUGUUCCAGACAGCAAAUGGGGUGAGGAAAAGGCCAGAAUCCUAGGCUAAAUUUUUGGUUUGAGGAGUUGAUGUGAGUAACAAGGGGACCGUUGGGGAGCUGAAGCAAGCUGUUGAAGCAGCUUUUGAUCAUUUGCCAAAAGGGGGGACUGGCAGAGUUUCAUGGUCACCCUUCGAUGCUGAUCAGACGUAUCUCAACCGUAAAUCCUUCCCCCAAAACCUGAAUCGCUGUAGCUCUGCAGCUGCGGCUGGAGAGCCGGAACUUGCGCACAAGAUCAUUUAUCGGUGGAAUGAAGCUUCUUUUGAGGUGCGGCAGUUGUACAAGACAUUUGUGGCGGCUGUGGCAUCGGAGGAGUUUCAGCAAGUGGUAGUACAAGCGUAUAGACUAUCCAGUGGGACUUCUGAAUCUGAAGAGAGACAGGGAUAGAAGAAUUUUGUCAAAAAAGUGAUGCUUUCUUCUAUAUUAUUUUUAGUUGCUACAAUUAUGUUUAAAGUACAAUGCAAAAAAUUCUUAAAUUAUUGUAAUGACUAUUGAAUAUUGAACUCGCGUUAAAUUUAUGUAUUUUGAUUUGUGUUUAUUAA
This is a long non-coding RNA of Salvia miltiorrhiza (redroot sage), 1243 nucleotides long. RefSeq lists it as uncharacterized. NCBI's taxonomy places the organism in Eukaryota, Viridiplantae, Streptophyta, Magnoliopsida, Lamiales, Lamiaceae. The transcript is spliced from 6 exons. The record is from RefSeq and is a predicted model, not a curated record.